Molecule: ribosomal RNA, 225 nt
Filed under: Clostridioides difficile
Lineage: Bacteria; Bacillati; Bacillota; Clostridia; Peptostreptococcales; Peptostreptococcaceae
Description: partial 16S ribosomal RNA
Rfam family: Bacterial small subunit ribosomal RNA
Source: RNAcentral
CGAAAGGUAUGCUAAUACGGGAUAAUAUAUUUGAGAGGCAUCUCUUGAAUAUCAAAGGUGAGCCAGUACAGGAUGGACCCGCGUCUGAUUAGCUAGUGGGUAAGGUAACGGCUUACCAAGGCGACGAGCAGUAGCCGACCUGAGAGGGUGAUCGGCCACAUUGGAACUGAGACACGGUCCAAACUCCUACGGGAGGCAGCAGUGGGGAAUAUUGCACAAUGGGCG